Molecule: non-coding RNA, 169 nt
Filed under: pig gut metagenome
Description: Lysine riboswitch
Rfam family: Lysine riboswitch aptamer
About the family: Riboswitches are metabolite binding domains within certain messenger RNAs that serve as precision sensors for their corresponding targets. Allosteric rearrangement of mRNA structure is mediated by ligand binding, and this results in modulation of gene expression.
Source: RNAcentral
UGAAGGUAGAGGUUGCGUAAAUCAUUAGUAAUUCACAGGAUGUGGCAGACACAGGAGAAUGUGAAGGAAAGGGAGGCACGCCGAAAGGUUACAUUUUCUGCGGGUGUGGUCUUGGGCAUAAGUUUAACAGGCUUAUGACUGUCAUCUUGAAAGAGAUGGGGAGCUAUCG